ACUUGAAUAGCUUAAAUUUAAAGCUUAAUAUUGAAGAUAUUAAAAUGAAUAAUUAUUCUUCAGGUA
This 66-nucleotide transfer RNA is filed under the name Nysius graminicola. RNAcentral describes it as "tRNA-Phe". The record is from RNAcentral. Lineage: Eukaryota; Metazoa; Arthropoda; Insecta; Hemiptera; Lygaeidae.